GACAGAGGGGGCAAGCGUUGCUCGGAAUCACUGGGCGUAAAGGGCGCGUAGGCGGGAUGGCAAGUCGGUCGUGAAAUCCUUCGGCUCAACCGAAGAACGUCGGCCGAUACUGCCGUUCUUGAGGGAUGCAGAGGAGAUUGGAAUUCCCGGUGUAGCGGUGAAAUGUGUAGAGAUCGGGAGGAACACCGGUGGCGAAGGCGGGUCGCUGGGCAGCUCCUGACGCUGAGGCGCGAAAGCGUGGGGAGCAAACGGG
This 253-nucleotide ribosomal RNA is filed under the name uncultured bacterium. Its description in RNAcentral is "partial 16S ribosomal RNA". It matches the Rfam family "Bacterial small subunit ribosomal RNA", at positions 524 to 776 of the family's 1533-position model. The record is from RNAcentral.